This 6941-nucleotide long non-coding RNA is filed under the name Sus scrofa (pig). RNAcentral's name for it is "lncRNA (ENSSSCG00000055852.1)". The record is from RNAcentral. Lineage: Eukaryota; Metazoa; Chordata; Mammalia; Artiodactyla; Suidae.
CAUUUCAUGUCACUUAAUUCUUUUUAAUGAAGGCCAUUCAUCAAAUGGAUGUCUAAAUGUAAUUUCAUUUUCACACCUGUGUAAGCUUUUGUCUAUGAAAGAAUUUGUAAAUUGGAAUGCAUACCCUGGUUUUAGAUUGGAUGAUAUGGGUACAAAGUCGCCAUAUCAAUGUGCUUUUUAAGAUAGAAGUCUUCCAUUUGGGAGUACAGAUGGGUUCAAGGAAACCAAAGUCAUGGCAUUUUUUUGUACAGUUUUGCUUUGGUCAAUGAUUCCUGUUCACCUACUUCCAUCCUACAUGUAGGAGGUAUAUAGAUAUCUCUGCCCAACACAAAGUGAAAACCAACAAUUCUGUCAUAGGACAUGUCACAUAUGUUAUUUAGUCUCACGCUUGUGUCAUUUAAGAAUGUAUUUCAUGGAGAAGGGGAGCUUUUAGAGCCUUUUUAGUCAGCAGUUCCAGGACCAUUAGCAUUGCUUGGGAUUUUGUUAGAAAUGCAGAGUCCUUGGUCCCACCCCACACCUACUAAAUCAGAAUCUACUUUGGAACAUGCUCCUUGAGUGAUGUGAAUGCUCCUGACCUGCAGACUGUACUUUGAGUAGCAAAGCUUUCAACUGGGGUUCCUCAUCUGAAGCCCCACAACACAGAAAAUGACUUGACAGGCUAUUUUCUCAGUUUUCCAAAAUUGGUACUUGAGUAGGACAUUCUAGAUGCAGAGGUAAGAAGUUAACUUCCUACAUACAAGUGAUACCUCUGAGGAUUAGGGUUUAGCUAAUUCUCUUAGGGGUCUUCAAUCAGGAAAGGCAUCCAGAAUCCUGAACUUGAAGAAGAAUUUGAUUAUAUUGAAACUUCAUUAAGUGUGAACACACUGACCGAGGUAGGUGUGAGCUUGUAACCUGACUAUGAGAUGGGUGGCUUCCCGUUGGUGAAUCUUUGUUUUUCUUCCAAAUUAUCAGAAAACAUAACCAGCUUUGUACAAACUGAAGCCUUCUUGAAAGUUUAGCAGACUUUGCAUGCCCGAUUUACAGACCCAAACGGUGCAGAACUAGCUGUGGCUGAGUUAAGUAAAUAAAAGCACAGCACAUGUUUUCCAUGGCUCCACAUAUAGACUAGAUUUAAGUAACUUCAGACUCCAAAGAUAUUUUUCUCAGACACCUAAAAUCAAAGUCGCUUUUUGUGUGUGUGUGCCAAAGUGUAGCACAGCUGCCAGAAAGGUGGUAAUAGGAAAGAUGAAAUUCUUCCAUGCUCUGGGCCCAUGAAAAUUGGGCUGUAAUCGACAUUAUUUGGCAACUUUCUCCAUUAGCAUUCGUUAUGGCAGUCACAUCUGUCCUGCGCGUGUAAGUGUGUGUGAGAUUGGAUCUGGGGAAAGAAGAAACGUCUUUGAGCAGGAGGCAGCAUUUGGCCUCACUACCUGGAGUAAGAAAUCAGAGAACUCAGAGGCACAUUAACAGCCGGGGACUUCUGACGGUGACCUCCUACAAAAUUGGAUCAGGCUUUUCCCUGGCAGUUGUAUUAAGCACACAUAUUUGAUGAAAUGUGCUUCUUGAAGCUGGCAUAUUUGACUGCUUUCUUUCUUUCUUUCCUUUUUUUCCUUUUUUUUUUUUUUUUUUUCUGGGGGAAUAGAUUCUUUAUUAUCUGCUGAAUUCAUUUCACUCUGUCAAUAUUCUAUAGAAAAAUGAUGGACAUUCUAUAAUUUUGACUUUUAUAUUAAUUCAUAAUUUUGAUGGCUCUACCUUAGGGCUGCUUUUCUCUCUUGCAGCCUUUCCUUCUCCUCCCUCCUGCCCCUGAAUUGGUCCUCUGGUUGCUCCAUCCGGCAGCUAAGCUUAUGACAGCUGCGUCUCUCCUUAUUGCCUCAGUGAACUGCGGGUCUUUUUUCAUAUUAAACCCACACUCACGGCAAUGAAAUUCAGAUUUAUAGCUGGAAAUCAGCCUAUUUGUAAUAUAAAACAUAAACAUUGGAGCCUUUGAAAAAGCUAAAGAAUUUUUUUUUCCCUGCUUUGUAUUUUUCCUUCCUUGGAACUUCAUGACUUGAGUCCCAAACAAGCGCUAUUUUAAAAUUCUCUGGCACCAUGUAAUAUAAUUGAUAAUAGUGUUUAAGCAGCAUCUCAUAUCAUCCAGCAUAGUGCAAAGUGAGCCAUCCUAGGAUAUGAGCUUAAAAAAUUGCAUUAACACUUAGACAAAAUGAAAUUUUUAUACUUGAUUUGCUCAUGGUUGGACGGAUGCAACUAAACACAAUUUGAGCUGUCACUUUGCAAAGGGGAAAAAAAUAUGCAACUUUGGAAUGUUUCAAAUGAGCCCAAUAUUAGAUUCUAUAACUCAGAGUGACACAGGAAAUACUAUUUGCAACAUGAUUGGUUCAUUAAUAUUUGGUAAUUGUAGUACAUCAUUUUAAGGGGGAAAUAAAAUGCAAACAAAUGUUUGCAGCUUCCAGUCAGUCACUGCUGCUCAAGUGCCACCAGCAGGAAAGGUUUGGGAGCGAAGGGAUAACGUGCACUGGGAGGUUAUAUUUUCCCCUCCCCAUUUUCAUUUUGGAAGAAUAAUUUUCCUCAUAAACCAACAUGUCAGACAAAGCAUCUACAUUUUAAAAAAAAAUAUUAUUUCACAAUUUUCCACAUGCACAUUUGAUGUAAACCCUGGAGGUGUAUUCCCUGAGUACCUAUUACCUCCAUUUUAGGGAAAUUACAUUAAAUUAUUAGUGACAAAUUUACUUGUCUGCCAAUGUAUUUUUCUGGAAUUUUACUACAACAUCAAUACUUGGCUGUUUUCUAUGGGCCCUCAUUUACCUGUCUUUGAAGGCAGCCACUCCUUGGGGAGCCCUGUCUGUCACUACCCGAAGCUGGAAAAAGUCUUUAACAUUCGCCGUUUCGAAUUAGACGGAAAAAUAUGUUGUGCUUUAAAAAGGUGAUGUGCCCUUCUGGAUUUGACAAUUAGGCAACUUGUUGUGUAAUCUAUUGUCUCACUUUUUGGACAGGGAGGAAACAACCCAGGUCGUCACAGGUGCCGGAGCGUGAACAGUGGACGUCGUCUCUGGGUGUAAAAUGCGUCUGCCAGGGACUGACAGCAAAAUGGGGAGAGAGGGUCACAUUUUGUGUGUUUAUUUUAGGGAAAUCAGUGCAGAGAAGAUUUACUCCGAUGCCAGUGAGCCUGGAGCUUCCAGGUCCCUCACUUGCAAGGCGCCCUUAGUGGCUUAGGAGGCGUGGAGAGUUCUGGGAUGUGGGGGGAAGACAGGUGUCAUCAGGGGAAAAAAAAAAUCCCAGAAAAAGAGGGAUCUGAAUGGUGAGAGCCCAGCUCUGGGUUGUGAUUUAUUUUCUCAUUUUAAGUAAAUAUUAACACCAGAAGCUUACUGCAGACUGCUUUCUUACAGAGAGUCCUCUCAGUUCUAUAAGCUUCAGAUCUCGCAAAACCUGGAUGUGUUGCUAAAAUAGAAGGUUAUUUCUCUUGGCAUCCCAGUUGAGGAACAGAGUUCUGGCAAGCGGAAGCAGCCUGUGUGAGAAAGAGAACAAGAGUUACAUCUCAACCUGGGGAGUCCUGUUGCGGGACUAUGUAAGACAGGUGAGCAUGGAGCACAUACAAGGAAAGCUUGAAACAGAAACAAAGGGCGAAUGAAGAAUAAGAAGCAAGAAUGGAAGUCCCGGGGGAGGGUGUAUAGUCAUCUCUCCAUUUUCCCUUUGAUGUAGAAUUCUUCUUCAUUAGAGUGUGCUGAAGCAGCGCUUGGCUCUGAUGACAUUUAAAAUCCUCCUAUCUUAGUCUGUGUCUAGUUCUUUGGUCUGCAUAUUUAUUUUUUCUUUGAGCCUCUUAGGUCGUUUUGUGGAAUAUUUCAGUUCAUUUGUCGUUUAAGAUCCUGGUGGCUUUGAGCUGGUCAAGAACCUCUGUGUCUUAGCUUUCCCCCAAAUAUGCAACUAAUUUGUGAUUAUGGAUAAUUAGCUUGGAGGUGAAGAUCACGCAGAUAUGUGUUUUUUGUAAAUGCUCAGAAAUUAUUUUCCUAAGACGUGUGCAGCUCUAUGGGACUCAAACUUGGACUACUCCCUUUUCUUCCCCGGUCUCUACCAGCCAGGAGCCUCCCUUUUCCAAAGGCCUUCUCCUUCCCUCCUCCCAAAACACAACCAUUUAGAUCAAAUUAACUAGAAUAACUGUUUCAACUGACCUAAAUUCAUCCUCUGCUAUGGCUUGGGAGGUUUGACCUUAAUUAAACCUCUAUUUUGCCGGAGAAUGAGACUGCUGGAGGGGAAGAGCAUAUGAAUUUCUACUUUCAUUUCAGGUGGAACAUUUGUAGCACCUGGGAACAGAUUGUUAAUGAAAUAUUUGUUUUAUCUAGCAGUGCUUUGUCAAGACCUGGAAAUCUGGCAGUUUGGCAAGUCUAAAUGGGAUAUAAUAGCCGGUGCACAGAAGGGAGAUAGUAAGAGGUCACUGCUGGGAGUUCCUGUCAUAGCUCAGCAGAAACGAAUCUGAACUAGGAUCCAUGAGGAUGUGGGUUUGAUCCCUGUCUUGGAUCAGUGGGUUAAGGAUCUGGCGUAGCGCUCAGCUGUGGUGUAGUUCACAAACAUGGCUUGGAUCCUGCGUUGCUGUGGCUGUAGCAUAAGUCGACAGCUGUAGCUCUGAUUAGACGAUAUGGAAGCCUGGAACUUCCAUAUGCUGCGGGAGAAAUAAAUAAAUAAAUAAAUAAUAAAAUAAAAUAAAGAGGUCAGUACUGCUUAAGGAGAUAUGUGAGGUAAUUAUUCAGGACAGCAUGGAGGAGAUCUGUGGACCGUAAGAGAGUAGGACUUCCUAACUCUUGCCCAAAUUCCCUUCCUCAAUCUUUGUCCUUGAUGCCAGGCAACUAAAAUGCGUUAAUACAUUUGGUGAUCACAGCCACCCUAUGGGACAGAUACUAUGAUCCUUUCUUUUUCCAAGAGGAGACCAAAGUGUACCAUUGACCAGAAGAGACAACGUCACCUAACAGUCCAGCCAGGAUUCCCACAAACUGGUUCUUCACUCAGAGAUCCAGUACAUUUCUUCUCUGCUCUGUCCCCUUCUUGUCACCUGCUAAGUCCGAAUGUUGAGCUAGUUUGAAAUUUUUACUCUUAAUGCUUUGGCCAGUUUUAGAAUCUCUUGAAUAGCAGUCUUUGAGUAUAGUGUCCAAAGUUGAAUAAAGAACAAUUAAUAAAUAAAGAUGCGACUGAUCUAACUUUGGUACCCUAAGGCACUGCCUUUAUUGAGGGGAAAGGGAUCAGUGAUGAACUUGGGAAGGAAAGGCAACCCUGCAGAAAAUUUGGCAGACGUAAAGGCUCCCCCUUAAGCUGUAUCAACUCAAGGAGCAAAGUGUGAUAUGUUUGUUCAUAGUCUUUCAAACCAGAGAUUCUUUAUUCAAAAGAAACGUUUAGAAAUUGUUAGGCUGUCCUAACUAUUGAGAUGUUAUUGCUAACAUCUCCUACAGCUCCACCUCUGAUGGCUCAUGAAGUUUCGUGAUUACUUUAAACCAAACAAAAAAUUUGUGAAGAAGGUUGGAGUUGGUGAGUGACAGCCACCCAGUGGAAAUGUCGUCAAAACCUUUCAGUUUUGUUUUUCAUUUAUUGCCCUAAGAGCAAUAUUUAUGUUUCUUUGACAUUUGAAAUCAAUGCUUCCAUUUAUAAAUCUCAACCCGAGAAACAGAUGUAUGCUAUUACACUUAUGCUUUUGUCUUAGGAUGCAACCAAAACAGAACAUUCUUUUGCUGUUCUUGCCAGUAUCCUGGGUACCCCCCACCCAUUGAAUGCAGUUGUAGCGCUAGGAUUUUAAAGACUGUGGGUUAAAUUGACCAGUUGGAUAAGAAUUAAAUAUUUAUUGAAGCCUACUAGUGUGCUAGGUAUUUCGGAGAUACAGAAGUAUAGCCAUGCUCCUACAUGUAGUCAAAGAAACAAUCAACAGUAAGGUUGAUAGAGCCUCAUAUGAUUAAAAAAAAAUGUUUGAGUGUGGGCUGGAGACUGUUGUGGAUGCUCAGAGAAAGUGUGUGGGAACCUGUGGCAGGUCUGUGGGUGGGAGUUGGGUUUGGUUAGCAGAAAAUGGUGUAGAGCUUUUUCUGAGAAGGGAUAGGUAAGGCAGGAGGUAGGAAUAUCCUGCAGGAUGCAGCUGAGUCUGGGAAUCAAGAAGAGGAAGAAAUAAAUUUGGAAAGGGAAAUAGAGAACUCUAUAAACCGUGUGGGUAUUCAUCCUGAGGCAUUAAAAGAACUCCAACUACCUGAGUUCAAAAAAGGUAAAAGUAUUGAUAGAAAUGCCAAGAGCUUUAUGGACCUAUAGUUUUAUUUUCCCCAUGCUGCUCAUUUCUACUAAUUUUUGUAUAAAUUUACGUAGAAUUUAGAAGGUGUCCUUGUCUUGAGCCUUCUCAUAAGAGGGGUUUUAUAUUUAAUUUUUCUUAGCUUUUCAUCUUAACCAUCCAUUGAUGUGAAUCUGGUCAAUGACUUUAUAGACUAGGACAUUGGUGCUUUAAAAUAUGCUCUUCUUUUUUUCUUCCCAUAAGCAUCCUCUAACUUAUCCAUGGUGGUCAGCUGUGACAGGUCAUACAUAGUGCCAUCAGUCAUGCCCUGUGUUACAUCUUAGACCAGUAUUCUGGUUGAGAAAAUGUGAUCCUCUGAGCUACUGAGAGAAAGCAGCAGAAAAUGAGUGGUGCUGGGGGGUGGGGAGGAGCGGGGAUCCAGGAUUGAAUCAAAUGGCACCAAAGAUAAAACGGGUCCAUCUGGCAUCUUUGGGACCAAUCUUAGUUUGAGGGUUCUCCUUCACCUUCAAAGACGUGACAGAGCUCACUUAGCCUUUUUUAAAAAUUCAAACUGUUUCCAUCAAGAGGACUCUCUGUCAGGUAGAAAACAAGAGAGUUGGAAUCGCAAUCAUCUCUUCAUGGCUUGAAAUCUACAUAUGAGUCUUUAAAAAGUGCUUCUCGGGAGUUCCCUGGUGGCACAGUGGGUUAAGGGUCUGGCGUUGUCUUUGCUGUGGUGUGG